This 858-nucleotide ribosomal RNA is filed under the name uncultured bacterium. RNAcentral describes it as "bacterial SSU rRNA". It matches the Rfam family "Bacterial small subunit ribosomal RNA", at positions 615 to 1471 of the family's 1533-position model. The record is from RNAcentral.
CAAUGUAUGCUUUGGAAACUGUUAGACUUGAGUGCAGAAGGGGAGAGUGGAAUUCCAUGUGUAGCGGUGAAAUGCGUAGAUAUAUGGAGGAACACCGGUGGCGAAAGCGGCUNUCUGGUCUGUCACUGACGCUGAGGCUNGAAAGCGUGGGUAGCGAACAGGAUUAGAUACCCUGGUAGUNCACGCCGUAAACGCUGAGUGCUAGGUGUUAGGUCCUUUCCGGGACUUAGUGCCGACGCUAACGCAUUAAGCACUCCGCCUGGGGAGUACGACCGCAAGGUUGAAACUCAAAGGAAUUGACGGGGGCCCGCACAAGCGGUGGAGCAUGUGGUUUAAUUCGAAGCAACGCGAAGAACCUUACCAGGUCUUGACAUCCCGAUGCCCGCUCUAGAGAUAGAGUUUUUCUUCGGAACAUCGGAGACAGGUGGUGCAUGGUUGUCGUCAGCUCGUGUCGUGAGAUGUUGGGUUAAGUCCCGCAACGAGCGCAACCCUUAUUGUUAGUUGCCAUCAUUAAGUUGGGCACUCUAGCGAGACUGCCGGUAAUAAACCGGAGGAAGGUGGGGAUGACGUCAAAUCAUCAUGCCCCUUAUGACCUGGGCUACACACGUGCUACAAUGGUUGGUACAACGAGUCGCAAGCCGGUGACGGCAAGCUAAUCUCUGAAAGCCAAUCUCAGUUCGGAUUGUAGGCUGCAACUCGCCUACAUGAUGUCGGAAUCGCUAGUAAUCGCGGAUCAGCACGCCGCGGUGAAUACGUUCCCGGGCCUUGUACACACCGCCCGUCACACCACGAGAGUUUGUAACACCCAAAGUCGGUGAGGUAACCAUUUAUGGGGCCAGCCGCCUAAGGUGGGANGGA